GGAAGCAAAAGUCGUAACAAGGUUUCCGUAGGUGAACCUGCGGAAGGAUCAUUAUUGAAUAAACCUGAUGUGGUUGUAGCUGGCCCUUUCGGGAGCAUGUGCACACCCGUCGUCUUUAUCUUUCCACCUGUGCACCUUUUGUAGACCUGGAUGUAACACUUUCCGAGGCAACUCGGUCGGGAGGAAUGCUGUCAGCUUUCCUUGAAUGUCCAGGCCUAUGUUUUCAUAUACCCCAAAGAAUGUAACAGAAUGUAUUAUUGGGCCUUGUGCCUAUAAACUAUAUACAACUUUCAGCAACGGAUCUCUUGGCUCUC
Molecule: unclassified non-coding RNA, 314 nt
Filed under: plant metagenome
Description: partial contains small subunit ribosomal RNA, internal transcribed spacer 1, and 5.8S ribosomal RNA
Rfam family: Eukaryotic small subunit ribosomal RNA (bases 1-54)
Source: RNAcentral